GUAACCUUGGGGUUGGCUCUUGUCUAUGUUUCUUGGAACAGGACGUCACAGAGGGUGAGAAUCCCGUGCGAUGAGAUGCCCAAUCCUAUGUAAGGUGCUUUCGAAGAGUCGAGUUGUUUGGGAAUGCAGCUCUAAGUGGGUGGUAAAUUCCAUCUAAAGCUAAAUAUUGGCGAGAGACCGAUAGCGAACAAGUACAGUGAUGGAAAGAUGAAAAGAACUUUGAAAAGAGAGUGAAAAAGUACGUGAAAUUGUUGAAAGGGAAGGGUUUGAGAUCAGACUCGAUAUUUUGUGAGCCUUGCCUUCGUGGCGGGGUGACCCGCAGCUUAUCGGGCCAGCAUCGGUUUGGGCGGUAGGAUAAUGGCGUAGGAAUGUGACUUUGCUUCGGUGAAGUGUUAUAGCCUGCGUUGAUGCUGCCUGCCUAGACCGAGGACUGCGAUUUUAUCAAGGAUGCUGGCAUAAUGAUCCCAAACCGCCCGUCU
Molecule: ribosomal RNA, 479 nt
Filed under: Meyerozyma caribbica
Lineage: Eukaryota; Fungi; Ascomycota; Pichiomycetes; Serinales; Debaryomycetaceae
Description: eukaryotic LSU rRNA
Rfam family: Eukaryotic large subunit ribosomal RNA
Source: RNAcentral